Molecule: transfer RNA, 74 nt
Filed under: Rugositalea oryzae
Lineage: Bacteria; Pseudomonadati; Pseudomonadota; Alphaproteobacteria; Hyphomicrobiales; Nitrobacteraceae
Description: Rhodoplanes sp. Z2-YC6860 tRNA
Rfam family: tRNA
About the family: Transfer RNA (tRNA) molecules are approximately 80 nucleotides in length. Their secondary structure includes four short double-helical elements and three loops (D, anti-codon, and T loops).
Source: Rfam by way of RNAcentral
CGCGGGAUGGAGCAGCCCGGUAGCUCGUCAGGCUCAUAACCUGAAGGUCGGUGGUUCAAAUCCACCUCCCGCAA